Molecule: antisense RNA, 69 nt
Filed under: Lentzea jiangxiensis
Lineage: Bacteria; Bacillati; Actinomycetota; Actinomycetes; Pseudonocardiales; Pseudonocardiaceae
Description: ASpks TB sRNA
Rfam family: ASpks TB sRNA
Source: RNAcentral
CUUGAUGGAGCCCAGGUACAGCGGCACGUCGCGGUCCUGGCCGUAGGUGGCCAGCAACGCCUGCGCCUC